RNAcentral lists this ribosomal RNA (446 nucleotides) under uncultured bacterium. RNAcentral describes it as "bacterial SSU rRNA". It matches the Rfam family "Bacterial small subunit ribosomal RNA", at positions 330 to 792 of the family's 1533-position model. The record is from RNAcentral.
UCCAGACUCCUACGGGAGGCAGCAGUGGGGGAUAUUGCACAAUGGGGGAAACCCUGAUGCAGCGACGCCGCGUGAGUGAAGAAGUAUUUCGGUAUGUAAAGCUCUAUCAGCAGGGAAGAAAAAAGACGGUACCUGACUAAGAAGCCCCGGCUAACUACGUGCCAGCAGCCGCGGUAAUACGUAGGGGGCAAGCGUUAUCCGGAUUUACUGGGUGUAAAGGGAGCGUAGACGGCAAUACAAGUCGGAAGUGAAAUACCCGGGCUCAACCUGGGAACUGCUUUGGAAACUGUAUGGCUGGAGUGCUGGAGAGGUAAGCGGAAUUCCUAGUGUAGCGGUGAAAUGCGUGGAUAUUAGGAGGAACACCAGUGGCGAAGGCGGCUUACUGGACAGUAACUGACGUUGAGGCUCGAAAGCGUGGGGAGCAAACAGGAUUAGAUACCCCGGUA